This is a long non-coding RNA of Ictalurus punctatus (channel catfish), 1155 nucleotides long. The record is from Ensembl. Lineage: Eukaryota; Metazoa; Chordata; Actinopteri; Siluriformes; Ictaluridae.
GUAAAAUCUCCUGAAUCCUUGCUAAUCCUGACUAGGCGCUAAUCUACUGAGGUGUGCAUCAGAUCAGGCAAAGACAUGCUUCAGCAUAAGCUUCUUCAGGGAAGCUCACCGAAAGGCAAGUGCUUGUGUUUGACGUCGGUGGUCAUAGAAGCCCCUGAAAAACCCAUCUCAGACACUUCUACUCAAGAAAUAUCUGGCAACCUCAGAGGUUAUGUGGCGCUGAUGGUUUACCUGACAAUCUGGACAGAUAUGCUGGAGUGUGUAAUGUUUUUACACAGGGAUAUGAGGUGCUUUUGAUGUGCUGUGAUGAGUAGACCUAUCAUACACAGUGCAUUUUCAGGAAAAGUGAUGGAGAUGCACAGACGGACAUUAUGGGUAGUUUUCUAAAAGGACGUGUUUAUUGUUAGCAUUAAAUCAUACAAAGCCAAUAAUGUAUUCACAACUGAUGUACAAAGAAAUCCUGCAUUAAAUAUAACGGUAAUCCAUUGAACAUGAUCAUGUGAAAUUGCUUAAGUAAGGAAUAAAACACUUGUGUGCGUUCUGUUAUAGGAAAAUAGUAAAUGGCAGGUUGGUGUGGUGCAGCCACAGAUGAAGCACAGUCACUGUUACCACUCUGAAGCUGAUUAUUUUCCAAUAACGACAUAUCCUAAAAACAAGCCAGAGGCGAUGGAUGGUGACAAAGAAAAUCUCCCUGAGACGACAUGAGGAAGAAACCUUGAGAGGAACCAGACUCAAAAGUGACACCAGAUAGACUGAUUAUAAAUAUGUUCUCUUCUCUUUUCUCGUCCUUUAAACCUGAAAAAAAUACUAUCGCAUGUAAUAUUGCAUUAUCAAAUGUAAUACAACAUAACAUUAAAGCAAUAGAUAAUUUAACAAUGAAAAAGGGUGACUAUGAUUAUAUAUAAAUAAGAAGAACAGAAAUAACAUCUAAUAGGAGUAGUAUAUCACCAAUAUACAGUAUUUCUGCAUAAAUAGUCCUAAUUGUAAUGAUUACAUUAACGACUGCGAAAUUUGGUUUCAUUUAACAACAUGGCUUCUUCCAUUAUUAUAGACUUAGAAAACAGCACUUGAUCCAGCAUAUCCGAUUACUUUGUAUAUCAUUAUUAUUAUGCAUUCUGUUAUUUUUUAUAUCAUGUGCCAACAGUUAAUCGUGCA